UAAAAACUGAAUCAACUUCUAAAAAUACUUUUAUAUUAUACUAUUAUAGGAUCUGGAGAAAAACCUGCUAAGUGGGCAUGUUCUGUCUAACAAAAUGUAUCUGUGGAAACACAAAGGAUUUGAUCCUCUCCUCAGAAAACAUUACAGCAAACAUGUGACUUUAUUCAAUGACAUGAAGGUAUGUAGACUGUUCUCUUUUGGUCUUAUUUGUGGACACAACUCCUGGUCUUCAAUCGCAAUCACAAUAGUAUGUGACUGGAACAUACAUUGAAGUCACGGAUCUUUACAGAUAUAUUCCAUAUCACAAUGAAAAUGUUUAGCAUAUUAACUAUUUGUAUUUGAAAGACCAAAUUUAUAAGAACCUUAUAUAAGGACAACAUGAAGAAGAAAGCUAUAGUAACCGAGCACAUUAACUAUUUUGAUUUUGAAACUAAUAUCCUGUCAUUUUUGGGAAGGAAACCUUUUUAGUCAGAUGAAUGCUGGUUAUACAGGGAAGGAUUGACAUUACUUUUCAGGCAGAGGAGGGGGAACGGGAGUAAUGAAUAAUUAAAAUGUUGCCUUGACUGUGCAACAUUUUACAAUUUUCUUUGUUAACCCUUCUUAAUAUCCCCUGUCAAAUUGUUUUCAUGCUUUUUACUUACUUAAUACCACAGACAGACAAGGUUUAUCCAGAGACUGGAAAAAAUACUGAUAGUACCUGGAACUGUAGUUGAGAAGCAGCUAUUCAUAACAGAGGUCAUUUUACCAGAGGUAAUGUUUGCAAAUAAUACAACUACAUUUACAGGAAAACUAAUUACUGAGUAAGUUAUGCCAUACAACAAGUGUCACUCGAUUUUGGAUAAUUUGGAGAACAUAAUUUCCAGAAUACAUACCACAACAAGAAAAAUAGAAUCAUGACUUUCUGCUAAUAGUUGUUAAAAUCAAAACUGAAGUACUUGAGUAUGACUAUUAAUUUUAAUGAGUACAUAAAUGUACAGUAUACAAGACGAAAUACUUUAAUGGGUUUGAAGCUGAUAAUUUCUGACAUGCUUAUUAUUAAAAAUAAUUUUUGUUACAUGUGUCGUUACCAAGCAGAAUCUGUGCUUCUAACCACCAAACCUUCAAAGAAAAAGAAAGGAGCUGCAAGAAAGGCAGCUGAAGAAACCGAGACCACCGAAGAGGAAAACCUUCUUAUCCUACAUAGCCUGGCUGCAGCUGACUGGUGCGAUAAGGCAACAUUCAAUGGAGGACUGAAACUCCCUGCUGUCCUUUUUAUGGACAGAGAAGAAAGAAAAGAAGCCAUCCAGGAGAUGGACACCUGGGAUGGGGAACUGGAUGAGGAUUCUCCAGCAGAACUUUGUACAUUCGUUUUUGAAAGAAAAAAGGACUAUGACAACUUCUGGGAAGAAUGUGUUGAUAAAAACAAUUACAGACUGUUUACAAGAUUUGAGGAACAGUGAUUGUUAAAAUAUUUU
Long non-coding RNA from Esox lucius (northern pike), 1454 nucleotides. The record is from Ensembl. Lineage: Eukaryota; Metazoa; Chordata; Actinopteri; Esociformes; Esocidae.